This 1065-nucleotide ribosomal RNA is filed under the name Triticum aestivum (bread wheat). RNAcentral describes it as "partial small subunit ribosomal RNA". The record is from RNAcentral. Lineage: Eukaryota; Viridiplantae; Streptophyta; Magnoliopsida; Poales; Poaceae.
AUGGGGAUGGGGACGGGCUUGCGGUUUUCUCACGGGGAUGGGUUUGGUCAAGCAAAACCCGGUGGCUUUCAUCCCCGUUGCCAUCUUGGUAUAAAGGGGACGGUCCAAGAGAACAACCAAUCGCAGGAGCCGUCGUCGGUGGAGGGGAGCUUGGCUUGCAUCAUGCCUCGUGACCAAGUUGACUUAAGUCCAGGGCAGCUGCAUAAGCUAGCCGAUUUGAUCCAUCGACAAGAAGUCCAGAAGCUUCAAGAGCUCGAGUUCGAGUCUUAUGCAGAGCAAGAAAACGCAGGCCGAGGCGCCGAUGACGACGCAACCAAGCAAGAUAUUGCCAAGGAUGUGUAUGGGUAUUGCACCAUGGCCAUCGGAACAUCCCUCAAAUUCGUCCGUAGUUACAACACCCGGAUCACCUACCUUGACAAGCUCAAGACCCACAGUGACGAUCUCAUCAAGCAGCUAAAGUGGCUUGAUGCAGCCACCCAGCUGGAUGAAGCUGAGCGCCUUGCUAUUGAGGCCAGCACGUAUAGGAAAGCUGCGCUUGACACUGCCAAAAAGUUUCAGGAUUUUAUACCAACUCAAUUCUCAAGAUUGCUCAAGGAAAACAACAUCUUGUUUGAUGAUCUUGUCAUAUAUAUAAAGUGUGUGGUACAGCAGUGCGAACAAAAGGUAUAUGAGAACAUUAUUGCGGAUGCGGGACAUGGAAAACCUGUGGUGACUUACACAUUUGAAGCUCUGGGAAAAGUGGGGGUGGCAGUUUUGGUUUUUACAGCAGCUGCAAUGGUGUGGGACAUAUACACAGGAGAGGACAUGCUGGAGGAAGAAGCUGGAUUCGCAACGCUUGACAUCGAGAUCGCUUCUGUAGCCGUGACGGUGAUCGGAGCAGUCGCCGGGAUCGGAGUUGGUGUGGUCAUUGGGAUGGCUGCAGGUGCGCUGCUUGACUUGGUUUUCAGCAGUGGAACCACCAGCAUGGUGGACAUCACAGACGGCCUUACUGUUUGCCGUGUGGCUCCUAUGCCCGAUGGUCUCAAGCUCGCUCGUCUAGUUAAGCACAAUUACCCUGACCUGUAG